RNAcentral lists this ribosomal RNA (253 nucleotides) under uncultured bacterium. RNAcentral's name for it is "partial 16S ribosomal RNA". It matches the Rfam family "Archaeal small subunit ribosomal RNA", at positions 474 to 727 of the family's 1478-position model. The record is from RNAcentral.
UACCAGCACCCCGAGUGGUCGGGACGAUUAUUGGGCCUAAAGCAUCCGUAGCCGGUUCUGCAAGUCCCCCGUUAAAUCCAGCUGCUCAACAGAUGGGCCGCGGAGGAUACUACAGAGCUAGGAGGCAGGAGAGGCAAGCGGUACUCAGUGGGUAGGGGUAAAAUCCGUUGAUCCAUUGAAGACCACCAGUGGCGAAGGCGGCUCUCUGGGCUCUACCUGACGCUGAGACGCGAAAGCGUGGGGAGCAAACGGG